GCAGGUUGAAGCGCGGGUAAGACCGCGUGGAGGACCGAACCCACCUGGGUUGAAAACCGGGGGGAUGACUUGGGGCUAGGGGUGAAAGGCCAAUCAAAUUCCGUGAUAGCUGGUUCUCUCCGAAAUGCAUUUGGGUGCAGCGUCGGGUCAUUACGUCCCGGGGGUAGAGCUACUGGAUGCUUGCGGGCCCGUAUCGGGUACCAACAGCAACCAAACUCCGAAUACCGGUGACGCGUAUCCCGGCAGUGAGUCGGCGGGGGAUAAGCUUCGUCGUCGAAAGGGAAACAGCCCAGACCGUCGUCUAAGGUCCCGAAGCGUGUGCUAAGUGGGAAAGGAUGUGGAGUCGCAUAGACAGCCAGGAGGUUGGCUCAGAAGCAGCCACCCUUGAAAGAGUGCGUAACAGCUCACUGGUCUAGUGGUUCCGCGCCGACAAUGUAGCGGGGCUCAAGCACACCACCGAAGACGCGGCAGUAUUUUGUACUGGGUAGGAGAGCGUCCCAUGAGGGGCGAAGCGGCCGUGUGAACGCGCCGUGGACUUCAUGGGAGUGAGAAUGCAGACAUGAGUAGCGAGAGACGGGUGAAGAUCCCGUCCGCUGGAUGACCAAGGGUUCCAGGGCCACGUUCAUCGUCCCUGGGUGAGUCGGGUCCUAAGGCGAGGCCGACAGGCGUAGUCGAAUGGAUGAACGGGUCGAUAUUCCCGUACCGGCUUUCAGCCGCCAAAACCGAGGCUUGGAGUACUAACCUCCGGGUCCGGGCUUACUGCUCCUUCGGGGGCGGGAUGCCCUGGCCUGUUGGGACCGAUCCUUGUAGUAGGUCAGCGCAGGAGUGACGCAGAAGGGUAGCCGGCCGCGGAGGUGGUCUUCCGUGGUCAAGCACGCAGGGCGUGGGACAGGCAAAUCCGUCCCGCAUGGGUCCGAGGUGCGAUGAUGGGGGCCUUAUGGCCCGAUAUCCGGUGAUCCCGGCUGCCGAGAAAAGCUUCGGCGUCAGGCUCAAAGCCGCCCGUACCCCAAACCGACACUGGUGGUCAGGUAGAGAAUACCAAAGCGAUCGAGCGAAUCCUGGUCAAGGAACUCGGCAAAUCACUCCCGUUCCUUCGGUUUAAGGGAGACCCCCGAUGGUGAACACACUUGCUGUGGGAGCUUUUGGGGGUGGCACAGACCAGGGGGUAGCGACUGUUUACCAAAAACACAGGUGCAUGCGAAGGCGCAAGCCGCUGUAUAUGCACUGACGCCUGCCCGGUGCCGGAAGGUUAAGAGGAUCCGUCAGCCUUCGGGUGAAGCGGUGAAUUCAAGCCCCGGUAAACGGCGGUGGUAACUAUAACCAUCCUAAGGUAGCGAAAUUCCUUGUCGGGUAAGUUCCGACCUGCACGAAUGGCGUAACGACUUCCCCACUGUCUCGACCAGGAGCUCGGCGAAAUUGCAGUACGAGUAAAGAUGCUCGUUAAGCGCAGAAGGACGAAAAGACCCCGGGACCUUUACUAUACCUUGGUAUUGGCAUUCGGUGUGGAUUGUGUAGCAUAGGCGGGAGGCCGAGAGGCGCGGUCGCCAGAUCGCGCGGAGCCGUAAGGUGAAAUACCGCUCUGUUCGCAUUGGAUGUCUAACCUCGAACAGUCAUCCUGUUCAGGGACAGUGCCUGGCGGGUAGUUUAACUGGGGCGGUUGCCUCCCAAAGAGUAACGGAGGCGCCCAAAGGUCCGCUCAGCCCGGUUGGCAAUCGGGUGGCGAGUGCAAGUGCACAAGCGGGCUUGACUGCGAGGACGACGGUCCGAGCAGGGACGAAAGUCGGGACUAGUGAUCCGGUGCCGGUGUACGGACGCGGCAUCGCUCAACGGAUAAAAGGUACCCCGGGGAUAACAGGCUGAUCAUUCCCAAGAGUCCAUAUCGACGGGAUGGUUUGGCACCUCGAUGUCGGCUCGUCGCAUCCUGGGGCUGGAGCAGGUCCCAAGGGUUCGGCUGUUCGCCGAUUAAAGCGGCACGCGAGCUGGGUUCAGAACGUCGUGAGACAGUUUGGUCUCUAUCCUCUGCGCUCGUUGGAAUGCUGAGGAGGCCUGCCCAUAGUACGAGAGGACCUGGGUGGACGAACCUCUGGUAUGCCGGUUGUCACGCCAGUGGCACGGCCGGUUGGCUACGUUCGG
This 2133-nucleotide ribosomal RNA is filed under the name human gut metagenome. RNAcentral describes it as "bacterial LSU rRNA". It matches the Rfam family "Bacterial large subunit ribosomal RNA", at positions 740 to 2758 of the family's 2925-position model. The record is from RNAcentral.